UCACUUUUAUUCAUUAAAUUUAUAUUACUAUCGUAUAAUAACAUGUUUAAUACACGCUAAUAUAGGUAUCUAUACUAUUAACACCGUAUUCACUCGUUUAAGCGACGCAUACGUUAUUUUUUUAAAAACAAAUCGGCAUUUAAUUGAAGCACUGGCAGCUAGAAAUGUUAGAGAAGUUUUGUUUUACAAAUUACAGCAAUUCAAUCUUCAACCGGCCUCGAAUUUUUUUUUCCUCUUGUUUUACAGUGUCCUCUCAGUAAAUAUGUUUUAUUUAACUUGAAAAUGUGAAUUUCCCUUGCAAAGGCAGUCAAAUUUGCAUGGACAACAAGCCCAUGCAUAAAGAGGGCCGCCCUCAAAAAACAAAAAGCGCCGCAUCAGAAAUACUAAAAAUGUAAUGAGCGCCAUAGCGCUGGAACGAGCAAAUAGGCGGUAAGGUGUAAACAUAAUAUCCUUAGUUGAGUUCAUAACUCCAGGUAGAACAUUGGAAUAUGUUUUAAAUGUCAAUACCACCACGUACAGUAUAUCUGGAGACUUUAGGCUGGUCUCACGUGUUUACCCCUCAGGUUUUGACAACCGAAAAUUGCACUUCCCAAACUCACAUGACCAAACCAGUGGAAUAAAAUAUAAAAUGGAGGAACUCUGAAUAAAUCGAUACCUUGAAUUUUAUUUCAUUUUAAACGGAAGCUCAAAUGCGGCUUCGAAGCAUUUUGAAUAAAUUUUGCCUAAUAUUUUGAAAUUAAUAUAAUUUAGUAUCACGUGUCUAUUAGACAGAUUUAGAAAAGACGACGCGACCUCAAAGACGACGUGGAUGGCGUCAUUUGGCGCCAACUAUCGUCAGCUUCUGAUUUGCCACGUCACAGAGUAGAUAAGACAUACAGAGACGUAACUGACCGUUGUAAACACUGCGGAAGAUUACGUUAUCAUGUACCCACUUUUUUUCAGGCGACCGGGCGAAAAAUUAUCAACUGCGCGUGC
Non-coding RNA from Paramuricea clavata, 975 nucleotides. Lineage: Eukaryota; Metazoa; Cnidaria; Anthozoa; Malacalcyonacea; Plexauridae. The record is from the annotation of a GenBank genome assembly.